CUUAAGGGAUGCACCUGGGAACUACCUUAGCUGAGGCACCUAAUAAAGAGACCUCUGAAUGGAGGUGCUUGCCCUAGGAAUGUAGAUAUGUACAAAAAUAUGGCUGGCCCUGGAAGGCAUGAGUCCUUUACUGUAACUCCCUCCGGAGACUGUGAUGCAGUGGCAGCUCCCCCCACAUCACAUCCCAUGAGGCCUGCCUGGUAAAGCCUUGUCAUUGCCUAUGGUCCGGUCUGAAAGUUCACAUGUAGAUUUUAGUUUGGAAGCUGAUUCUCACCUCCCAUUAGAGGCAGGAUUAUUUACCUCUUCUUAGAUUUGGCCAAAUAACUUGCUUUGUUCAACAAGAUAAGUGAAAAAUGAUGAUAGCAGGUAAAGUAAAUGCUUGCUAUUGUAUGCUGCCGAGAUUCUAUGACCCUUGCUUAUAUAGUAACAGUUUGCUGAUACAAUCUCCAUUUUUAAAUUACUCGUUGGAGCUAGGCAAAAGUUACCAAUAGCUGUUAAUAUCACAGAACAAGAGACUUCAUAUGAUGUGCCUCCUCAUAGAAGUAUAUAAUACCACCUAUGAAAUAGCUAUGACAAAAUUCAAGCUUGAAAUGGAUCAUGCCUCUAGUGAUAAUUAAAAAUUUACAGAAAGCAUAUAUAGGUGAUAGAAUGUAUAAAACAAUACUGAAAUCUAAAUUAUGGGAAACUUUGAUGACAAAUGGUCCAGAGGACAAACGGUCCAGUUUGUCCUCAAAGGUGGGGACAGGGGAGAGAGAGGAAGCAAAUAGAUUUUAAAAUACUGAAGGAAAUAUAAAAACCAGUCACCAUGGGCCUGGGAUUUAGCUCAGUGGUUCCACCACCUGCUUCGCAAGUGCUACAUCCCGAGUUCGAUCCCUGGUACCAAAAACAAACAAACAAACAAAACCAGUCACCACAUAGGGCAUUAGAUCCCAAUUAAAACAAAAUGUUUAAAAAUAUGAGACCAUAGGCCGGGGAUUUAGCUCAGUGGUUCCGCUGCCUGCCUUGCAAGCACAAAGUCUCGCUCGAGUUGGAUCCCCAGUACCAAAAAAAAAAAAAAAGAGAGAUAAUAAAGGCUUUUUUAUAUGAACACUGGAUAUUUAGUAUUUUAGGGAAUUAUUGCUAUUUUAGAAAUGAUAAUAGUUUUGUAGUUGCUCUACUUUUUUGCAGCACAACAAAUAGCCCUAGAACUUAGUGGUUUAAAACAGCAGACAUAAAAUUAAAUCUCACAACUUGGUGGACCAGGACAUUGAGCAGGGUUCAGCUCGGUAAUUUUUCUGCUUCAGUGGUACCACUUCAUGGUAUGCACAGAUGGGCAGACAUAGGAGAUCCAUGAUGGCUUUACUUUCAUGUCUGGUGCCUUUGAGAGGAAGACUGGAAGGCUGGGUUCAACUGAGCACUUGCGUGUGACCUGGUCACUGUGGCACUUUCUCGGUUGUCAGAUAUCUUACAUGGAAUCACAGAUUUUCAAAGAACGUGUCCUAAGAGGUCCAGAUGGAAGCUUCAAAGACACUGAAGAACUAACUUUGGAAGUGCCAGAAUGCUGCUUCAGCCUCAUUUUACUAGGCAAGCAACUUGCUAUCGUCAGCUGGGAUUCAAAGUGAGGAGAAUUAGACCACGGAAGAGGCCAUAUGUCAUCUAUCUCAGUGGUUAUCCUUUUAAAAGGAGAUACCUUCUAGAGCUAUUGCUUAAAGAUACAAAAAUAAAUCAGACCAUGAGAUUUCUCAGAGGGAACCUGAACAUUGCUUGUGAAGAUUCUUUCUCAUUGCCGGCCCAGGACAUCUCCCCUUCCUUCCUACAUCGACUGCACAUCGACUGCAGCUGGUCUGCGGCAAAAGGACUCAUCACAUAGAGACAAUAAUGGCAAAGCACCAGGAAAUCCCUAGCCAGAAGCAAGAGCCUGAGUCCCCAAAUCACCCCAUGGAAAAAAGUCAUACCCAGCCAGAAACCUCUCAUUUGACAGCUGCAUGAGCAAAAAAUUAUGUUAAGCCACUGUGAUUUUACAUUUUAUUUGUUAGAGCAACAAGAGCUAUUCUAUCAUAGUGACCUAAUCUAAGUAGUAUUCUACCCUAUUGGGUGAAAUGCAAUCACAUAUACACUCAUUAUAUAUACACAGAUACAAAUAAUGUAUAUACACAGAUGCUUUGCUUUUUUAAUGGGACUGUGAAAUCGUACAUCCUUUCUGACAUACAAUUUGACAAUAUAUAUUGAAGCUCUUAUUCAUGCACUUACUUGUGUUUAAUUAUGUGAUUAACUUGACUUAUUCCUAGCAGUUUAACCUGAGUAAACAAUAUGCACUAAGUGCCUAUUUAAAUCCAAUCAUGUUCAAUAUGGCACUUUUUUAUAUGUAAGAUUCAUGAAUUCAUGAAUGAUUAAAAUAUAUUUUGGUACUUUAGACAAUAGAAUCUUUGAAAUAGUUAAAAUAAUAUUACAGAAUAUUGCCACAUGUCAUAGGAAAUGAUAAGGAUAUCUUAUUAAAUUAAGACAGAAAAAUGUAACAGGUAUAAUUUGGCCCAAUUAUUUUUUAAAGUGUAUAUCUUUGUGUCUGUAUGUAUCUUUUUAAUUCUCCAGAAAGACUAAAAGGAAAUACACCAAAACUUACCAAAAAUUAUAUAUAAAUACUAUAAUUAAAAGUGAUUUUAAAAUUCUGUUGAAUGUUCCAAAUUUUCAUCACUGAAUAUACAUUUUUGUUAUAUAAAUUUGGUGUGUAUGUAUAAUAUAUACACACAAUUACAUAUUUAUAUGUAUAUGUAUAUAGUCACAUAUGCACAUUGAAGAGUGAUCCUCCUGUAAAAUAGGCUUUCUUGCAGAGUACAAAAUGAACAUGCCAGGUCCCUGGUGAUUGUAGGGAAAUGUGACAAAGAAGUAGUUCACUGAGAAAUGAAGAGGGAGGAAGGUGUAUCCAGUAGAAGCCAUUCCACUCUAAGUUGAUUCUGAAGAGAACUGCAGAGGGCACUAACAGAACACUAAGUGUUUUUUGAAUUAUAAUUUUUAAAGAUGAGUCCCUAUAGGACUCCCACAGUAAUUCUGGCCUAACAUACACAUAAGUUAUUCCAAUCUUAACCACUAUUUCACAAUACUGCAAAAUCCAUGCCUGCAUCCAACAGACAAAGGUCAUCCUG
Long non-coding RNA from Heterocephalus glaber (naked mole-rat), 3119 nucleotides. The record is from Ensembl. NCBI's taxonomy places the organism in Eukaryota, Metazoa, Chordata, Mammalia, Rodentia, Bathyergidae.